RNAcentral lists this long non-coding RNA (373 nucleotides) under Nicotiana benthamiana. RNAcentral's name for it is "long non-coding RNA (NBEN_LNC009464)". Lineage: Eukaryota; Viridiplantae; Streptophyta; Magnoliopsida; Solanales; Solanaceae. The record is from RNAcentral.
AGGGACCUAAACACAGGAAUUUUUUUUCUCAGAGUCAGACCACGCCUUAUGACGAAAGGGGGAGAAAGGACGGAUCACCUGUCGAUCUGUGAUCAAAGAAAACUAUACCUGAAGAAUGGGAUACAGAUUGACAAGCACAAAAGGGUAGGCUUGGCUAUUAAUCUACGCUCAUUGAUGAGACGGCGACAUAGAGAAGAAAGUAUACCCUUUGUCACCCCCUUGUCACUUAAAAGUAAAGAAGAGAUACACACUUUGGAAUCCAAAUUUGGUGGGAUUUAGGAUGGAAUCGAAUAGCGAAUGCACUUGCGGUUAAGACAGGUCCUGCAUCUCCUACCUAAUGCAAUUGACCGACCCGCCAUUUCUUUCCUUCAAU